This 750-nucleotide ribosomal RNA is filed under the name bacterium. Its description in RNAcentral is "bacterial SSU rRNA". It matches the Rfam family "Bacterial small subunit ribosomal RNA", at positions 31 to 774 of the family's 1533-position model. The record is from RNAcentral.
GGCCGGUGGCGGCGGCUACACAUGCAGUCGAACGGUAACAGGAAGCAGCUUGCUGCUUUGCUGACGAGUGGCGGACGGGUGAGUAAUGUCUGGGAAACUGCCUGAUGGAGGGGGAUAACUACUGGAAACGGUAGCUAAUACCGCAUAACGUCUUCGGACCAAAGAGGGGGACCUUCGGGCCUCUUGCCAUCGGAUGUGCCCAGAUGGGAUUAGCUUGUUGGUGGGGUAACGGCUCACCAAGGCGACGAUCCCUAGCUGGUCUGAGAGGAUGACCAGCCACACUGGAACUGAGACACGGUCCAGACUCCUACGGGAGGCAGCAGUGGGGAAUAUUGCACAAUGGGCGCAAGCCUGAUGCAGCCAUGCCGCGUGUAUGAAGAAGGCCUUCGGGUUGUAAAGUACUUUCAGCGGGGAGGAAGGGGAUGAGGUUAAUAACCUUGUCCAUUGACGUUACCCGCAGAAGAAGCACCGGCUAACUCCGUGCCAGCAGCCGCGGUAAUACGGAGGGUGCAAGCGUUAAUCGGAAUUACUGGGCGUAAAGCGCACGCAGGCGGCGUGUCAAGUCGGAUGUGAAAUCCCCGGGCUCAACCCGGGAACUGCAUUCGAAACUGGCAUGCUAGAGUCUUGUAGAGGGGGGUAGAAUUCCAGGUGUAGCGGUGAAAUGCGUAGAGAUCUGGAGGAAUACCGGUGGCGAAGGCGGCCCCCUGGACAAAGACUGACGCUCAGGUGCGAAAGCGUGGGGAGCAAACA